UGGGGAAUCUUGCACAAUGGAGGAAACUCUGAUGCAGCGACGCCGCGUGAGCGAUGAAGCCCUUCGGGGUGUAAAGCUCUUUCGACGGGAACGAUAAUGACGGUACCCGAAGAAGAAGCUGCGGCUAACUACGUGCCAGCAGCCGCGGUAAUACGUAGGCAGCAAGCGUUGUUCGGAAUUACUGGGCGUAAAGAGUGUGUAGGCGGUGCUCCAAGUCUGGUGUGAAAUCUCCCGGCUCAACUGGGAGGGUGCGCUAGAAACUGGAAUGCUAGAGGAUGGGAGAGGUAAGCGGAAUUCCUGGUGUAGCGGUGAAAUGCGUAGAUAUCAGGAGGAACACCUGUGGUGUAGACAGCUUACUGGACCAUUUCUGACGCUGAGACACGAAAGCGUGGGUAGCAAACA
This 402-nucleotide ribosomal RNA is filed under the name uncultured Bryobacter sp. RNAcentral's name for it is "bacterial SSU rRNA". It matches the Rfam family "Bacterial small subunit ribosomal RNA", at positions 355 to 774 of the family's 1533-position model. Lineage: Bacteria; Pseudomonadati; Acidobacteriota; Terriglobia; Bryobacterales; Bryobacteraceae. The record is from RNAcentral.